AUCCACAGCCAUAGGACUCAGAAAACACCGCAUCCCGUCCGAUCUGCGCAGUUAACCUGAGUGCUGCCCAGUUACUAUACCAUGAUCCCUCUUUGCUAACAAUC
This 104-nucleotide ribosomal RNA is filed under the name Fomitiporia mediterranea MF3/22. Lineage: Eukaryota; Fungi; Basidiomycota; Agaricomycetes; Hymenochaetales; Hymenochaetaceae. The record is from RNAcentral.